CCUACGGGAGGCAGCAGUGGGGAAUAUUGGACAAUGGGGGCAACCCUGAUCCAGCAAUGCCGCGUGUGUGAAGAAGGCCUGCGGGUUGUAAAGCACUUUUAGUAGGGACGAAAAUCCGGAUGCUAAUAUCCUCCGGGCUUGACUUAACCUACAGAAAAAGCACCGGCUAACUCUGUGCCAGCAGCCGCGGUAAUACAGAGGGUGCAAGCGUUAAUCGGAAUUACUGGGCGUAAAGGGUGCGUAGGUGGUUUGAUAAGUCAGAUGUGAAAUCCCCGGGCUUAACCUGGGAAUUGCAUUUGAUACUGCCAAACUAGAGUGUGGUAGAGGUAAGCGGAAUUCCCGGUGUAGCGGUGAAAUGCGUAGAUAUCGGGAGGAACAUCAGUGGCGAAGGCGGCUUACUGGACCAACACUGACACUGAGGCACGAAAGCGUGGGUAGCAAACAGGAUUAGAUACCCUUGUAGUC
Molecule: ribosomal RNA, 465 nt
Filed under: uncultured bacterium
Lineage: Bacteria
Description: bacterial SSU rRNA
Rfam family: Bacterial small subunit ribosomal RNA
Source: RNAcentral